RNAcentral lists this ribosomal RNA (447 nucleotides) under uncultured bacterium. RNAcentral's name for it is "partial 16S ribosomal RNA". It matches the Rfam family "Bacterial small subunit ribosomal RNA", at positions 29 to 523 of the family's 1533-position model. The record is from RNAcentral.
AACGAACGCUGGCGGCAGGCCUAACACAUGCAAGUCGAGCGCGUAGCAAUACGAGCGGCGCACGGGAUAGUAACGCGUGGGAACCUACCUUUCGGUUCGGAAUAACAUCGGGAAACUGGUGCUAAUACCGGAUGCGCCCUUCGGGGGAAAGAUUUAUUGCCGAUAGAUGGGCCCGCGUUGGAUUAGCUAGUUGGUGAGGUAACGGCUCACCAAGGCAACGAUCCAUAGCUGGUCUGAGAGGAUGAUCAGCAUCACUGGGACUGAGACACGGCCCAGACUCCUACGGGAGGCAGCAGUGGGGAAUAUUGGACAAUGGGGGCAACCCUGAUCCAGCCAUGCCGCGUGAAUGAUGAAGGCCUUCGGGUUGUAAAGUUCUUUUGGUGGGGACGAUGAUGACGGUACCCACAGAAUAAGCUCCGGCUAACUUCGUGCCAGCAGCCGCCGUAA